Long non-coding RNA from Columba livia (rock pigeon), 33908 nucleotides. RefSeq lists it as uncharacterized. The transcript is spliced from 2 exons. The record is from RefSeq and is a predicted model, not a curated record. NCBI's taxonomy places the organism in Eukaryota, Metazoa, Chordata, Aves, Columbiformes, Columbidae.
UGAAAAGUCAAGGCCUGCCCUGCCCUGGCAAAAGCAGUCCUUUGACUGGAGGGAAAAGCAGCACCAAAACGAGCCGCGAGCACGCUUGGGGUGGACUUGCUGCGGUAAUAAACAACAGUAAAGAGUACUUGUAGCUACAGCAGCCUCUUCUGAGACCUCGUUGCCCUCCCGCCCGCCCGCCCACAGGGUCGCAGCACUACACGGCCCAGAUCCCUUCGCGGCCCGAGCGCACGCAAACUGCCCGAGCCCCCGUGAGCACCAGGUCGACGAGGGCGGACCCGCCAAGGGGGGCGGGGACGAGGGCAAACGACAGACGAGACAGCCAAUCGAGACGCGGGGUCGGCCGGCGGCGAUCUGACGGCCCAAUGGGAGCCGCGGAGGGCCUGGCCGAGUGGAGGAAGCGACAACGGGCGUUGUCGUGGCUGCCGAGAUUAUUGGGGCGCGGGCGGCGUGGCGGCGCCAUUACUGUCUUCGGCAAGGUCCCUGGCAAGGCGCUUCCCCGCCAACGUCGUCUACGAGGACGAGAAGGAGAAAGCACCCGUAGCAUUGGAUGUGUCAGUACCUCCCUUCUGACCUGGAGAUCAAGUCUGUCCUUGGACCUGGAAGGAUGAACCUUUGAAAGAGAGGUGGAAAGGACCCUGUAUGGUAUUGUUAGUAACUAACACAGCUGUGAAACUUAAGGGAGUAAUUUCCUGGAUCCACUAUGCUAGAUUAAAGUACAGAGACUCGGUAGAAAUCAAAAGAGAUCACUUCUUUAACACUAAAACUUAAUGAACUGCACUUGGACUGAAAUAGAAUCUUAUAUAGAAUUUGAUUGCAUUCAAGGAGGUUUGUUAAUAUUCAAUGUAGCAUUAAUAUUAGCCUGUUUUCUUUGUAGAUAUCUGUUUAAAUAUGUAUUAGAGUUACAUAUGUCUUUGCCCGUUAUAUGGUACAGUAAGUUCACAGACUGUUAAAUCAGGAGAAUCCAUGAACCCAAAAUGUACAUUUUAUGAUGUUCCAGAAGACCAUGCAUAUAGCUGCCAAGACCAAUUGCUGGGUAUGCACACAUUUCACAGAAUAUUCAAAUAAAGGGAUUCCUAUAUUAAGAAUACCUCUUCCUAUUAAUAUAACUUGACCACUUUGGGGAAAACACUUCAUUUGAAUGUUGAUCAAUCUAAAAUAAUUAUGACUGAGUUAGAGGAGAUUUGGAAACAUACUACCAUUUUGCAUGAGGUACAGAAAAACAAUACCUCUUAAGGAUUUCAAGAAGUUUGGACAUAAUUGAUGUCCUGAAUUCCUGAUUUACAGAUGUGGAUUAAGAAGUUGAUUGUAUUUAUUGUAAUAGCAAUUGCUAUAUUUGUAUAUUUGUAUGUUAUGUUGCAAUGUGUAAUGAAGUGUUGUGUUGCAGUCACUCACUAAAAGAGUUUAGAAAAGGUAGGACUUAUUCGAUAUAUAGAUGCAUACAAAUAAGUCCUAAAGGAGGGAAUUGUUAUUACCACUUAAAAGAAUGAAUCCCAUCUGCAAUUGCUAACCUAAAGAUAUGUAAAUCCUUUUAGUUUUAUGUCAGUCUAUUCAUAUAACAAAGAGUGACUUGCAAAACAAUUAGUUGAGUCUUGCUUUAACACAUAUCUCGAGACUGUUGGAUAAAGUGUCCUUUAGCUGAACAUUGCACAUUAUAUGCUAAAAGGAUUAUGUAAUGUGAUAUGCAAAUGUGUGACCAGUUGACUCUUUAGUACUGCCCUGAGUAGUGAUAAGAUUUUGUAUAUAAUGCCUAUUAUUUUCUUUCUGGUGUGCUGCCUUUAUUCCAGCAUCCAGGCUUGUGCAACUCUGUAACAAACAAUCUCUCAUCUCUGUGUGCUACAGUUUGGCUCAUUUGUAUGGACACUGGGUGACAGAACCUUGUUUUUGGGACAGCAUGGGGUCAAUGCUUUUUUCAUGCUGCAAGUAGCAAAGUUAGCACUGUUGAUACAAGUCAUUAGGGCAGUAGUAUCAAUACCUGAUCUCCUGACUUGAGUGUGACUCACAUAGCAGUAUGGGCACAGGCUAGGUACUGAGUUUUCACAUUUAUGGCAUUUACUGAGUUUGCAUAUCUGGGUUGAGGUACUUUUCUAACGCAUUUUUAGCUCAAGUCUGUAAUAAUGUAGUCCUGUAAUACAGUAUUGCUAUUUCUAGUAACAGUCCAUAAGCUUUAUACUGAGUUUGCAAGGCCUCAGGACAGGUGUGUCAGGCCUCCUCUGCCUGAAAUUUUUUUGACAUGGCUACAGCUUUGUAUUACUUAGUUUAGCUGUGACAGCCAUUUAUCUAAAUAACUACAUGUCUGUGACCAAAUUUUUACUUUUAUCUUUGUGUGAUACAACCAUAGUUUUAUAUAGAUAGCAAUAAGAAUCAGUUGUUCUAGGUAGAAUGAGAUAUUUACAACUAACACAAUAAUGUAGAGAAAUAUAGGCCCAGUAUGACAGCAGAGGCCUCCAAGAAGUGGAGACAGAGGAUGCAGCAUAGAUGUAUACAUGCAUGGCAUGAUAAAAUAUGGGGCAUACGCCGGCAUAGGAGAUCCCACAGCUAUAAAAAAGUCACCUGUGGUCACUUAAAAAAACCCGUGGACCUAGAGCUGGACAAAACUAGUUCCAGGGGUAACAAAACAAACAAAGAAAUAAUAUCUAACAUACAUAAGUGGCAAGAUAUAUGCCCUGUUUCCCCAAAAAUAAGUCCUAGCAUGAUUUUUCAGGAUUUUUGAGGAUGCUCGAAAUAUAAGCCCUACUUCAAAAUUAUGCCCUAGUUACAGUUCACAAAAAAAGUCAAUUUAAACAGUGUCCAGGCAGCUAUACAUAUAAAAAAGUAAUAGGUUUUGGAGCAAAAAUUAAUAGAAGACCCUGUCUUAUUGUCAGGGUUUAAAGCAAAGCAACAAUAAACCAUGACAGAUGCUGUUACCCCCUCACCCUCUCCCCACCCUCUCCUUUAGAUAGGAAAGAUGAUAAGGAAGAUAAGGAGGAAGGAAGAGAGACUUAGACUUCAAGUUGGAAGGGUUUUAAAGGUUUUACUAAUGCUACUAAUAAAUAGAGAAAAUAUACAAAAUAUACAAAACCAAACUUGAAUGCCUGAUAUGGAGUUGGUGUCACUCCAGCAGCAGCAGAGCUAGUAUCUGGCUUGGAUCCAGCAGCUGCAGGGCAGGCACCUGGAAGUCAUGGACGGGACUUCACAGCAAACCGGAAACUGGAUUUCAGGGAUGCAGGGCCUCGGGCUUAUAGAUCACAGGCAGACAGGUAGGGUACUCUUCAGAUGCCGGCCACGGUUGAAGAGAGCGAGACCCUCGUGAUCCUCCUCUUAUAUAGAAUGUAUGACAAUUAUGGGAUGGAAUACUUGGUCAGUUUUAGUCACCUGUUCCGUCCACCCCUCCUGCAAAUAUGUCCCGUUAUCAGUUAACCUUGGUUACCAUAGUAAUAAAUCUAAACAUGAGCUUCUUCAGCAUUCCGUUGGUCAUCUUAUCAGCAUUGAGUACAGUGUCCGAGAAAAAAAUGUGCAGCUAACUUCAGGAAAGUGCAGUUACUUGGAAGAACUUAGCUGAAAGGAAAAAUUCACUAAAAGAGAAACUGGUCUUGUUUUUAACAAAACCAGGACACUUAUUUUUGGGGAAACAGGGUACUAAUUUUAGAUGUAACCUGGAGCUUCAGAGCAAUGAAGAAGGAGUAAGGUAUAAAAACAUGUUAGCAAACAAGUGACUAUAAGGGGAUACUAGAGGGAGGAAGAAGAAACCAUCAACAUGAACAUCAUAUUUCUCCUGGCAAAGGACUCCAGCUGCUGACAGCUUACUGUAACUCCCCCCUUCCCACCACCAACACCAGAAUCUGACCCUAGGGCUCAGAGAAGCAAUGAAAGGGUGAGCAUAACACCAAGAAGAGGUGUAGAAACUAUGUGUGUGUAUGUGCACAUGUGUGUGUUGCAUUUAGUACUCUAUCUGCAUUUAUUAUUCUCUUUUUUCCUGUAAUAAUUAGAUCUAGACUAAUGAUAAUGGUUCAAUUAGACUGUUAAGAUUUCCAUUAUACUAAGUUAUUACAUUUACAUAAUUUAAAUAAAAGUAUUAUAUAUUAAACAUAUUCAUAACUAAUAUAUAUAUAUAUAUAUGAAAAUUGAAGUUGUGCUUCCUCUUUUAGCCGUAGACAAGAUUUUGAAUGUAACAAGGCCAAGAGCUAGAAAUUGCAUUCUAUUCCCCUGCCCGAAGAGAAUUGUCCCACUGAUAAGGUAAAUGCACCUAUCAGUCUCAUGGAUGUAGCUGACUAUAAACUCAUCAAUGGUAAUUUGGAAAAGAAAUUUGUCUUGCAAAAUUUUAUUCCAACCAGGUGGAAUAUGCAGAGAGUUCUUUUGAAUUCAUCUAUAUUUUGACCUCUAAUCUGUAAGAACCCAAAAUAAGAAUUCCACUUGAGACAAGGAUCAUGUAAAUAGUUGCUUUCAUAAAAUAAAGGCCAUAACACUUAUGGGAAGAACUAGCCCAGGGAUUCUGUUCCAAGAGUUCCUUUCUUGACUAACCCAUUUUUCUCAAUAUUCAGGGAUUCUUAAAGGGGAGGAAAGCAUUGUAAUAGGAAAGCAGACACUGCUUCUCAAGACCAAUAAUAGACCAGGACUAAACUACUGUACUUGAGGUUAAUAUUGGACCGGUCUUUUAGCAUGGUCUAUAAAAUAGCAUAUUUGUACUAGUAUUAGCAGUCUAGAGCUGAGUUUUCUUAAACUGAAAACUGGUCUAAGAAAAGCAACAUUGAAAAAAUGUUAAAAUUACAUUUAAAUUUUUCAUCUACAAUGAUUAGAACAUUCAGACAGAACCAAGUUAAAAUAAUACUUCUCUACUUUUCUCCUCUACAGGCUCACUUAUUCCUAUGACAUCUGCUACUGCUUUACUUAACACAUCGCUAUAGAUGACAUGAUUUCAAUACUGAAGGUGGAAGUCAAGUUUCACAUGGCAAUAGGUCAAGACAGAUUCCAUAUUUUAGUCAUGAACAACCUACUUUGGUUAUAAGCAGCAUAACACACAGUAUUUAAGUAGCAGUUGGUUACAAACAAAAAGUUUUACAACUAGCUCACUGCAUCAGGACUAAAGCUGGGAGACCAAGAAACUAUUAAUUCUUAAAUAAACUGGUAAAUCACACAAGUUUAAUGGACAUGAAAAAUAUUAAAUUUGUGUCAGGUUCACAUACUACACAUUUGCACUACAGAGAAAGUUCUGAUUUGACAAACAGCAGUGCAAAUCCAAAAACUGUAGAUAUAUCUUAAUGUAUAUUAGAAAUAUUUGUGCAUCAUUCAGUAAACCACAGCUCUACAGAGCACCAAGAACACUACAGAAUCUUAGUCUAAGACCAGGCACUUGAACACAAAUAUAAGAGUUACAGCUUUAGUCAAGAAAACUAUUCCAGACUGCUUGUCUGACAGUGUUUGUGAUCAACUUCACAGAAUCACAGAAUGUUAGGGAUUGGAAGGGACCUCAAAAGAUCAUCUAGUCCAAUCCCCCUGCCAGAGCAGGAACACUUAGAUGAGGCUACACAGGAAGAUGUCCAGGUGGGAUUUGCAUCCUGGAGCUUUAUACAAAUUGCAAAGUCAGUUUUCAUAUCACCAUUUUAAUUUAUUUAUGCUUUUUAAAUGAACUAUAGCUGAAUUUAACAGCAACAGCAACAACAAAAUAUCAGGAAGUGAAGGUGAAUCACCUGUAGUCCUUCACUUGUCUACUGACACACAAAAAAAAUGGUAUCACAGUGGUUAACUGGCCCUUUUAAGAAGUCUGACAUUGAACACCACCUCCAAGGUGAUGCUCAUCAUCUUCAUAGGCUUCUCCAUUAUAGCAAUGUCUUCUAACUUGAGCCGGAUGAAAGUCCAUUAAAUCCACUUGUUCCAUUUCCCCAGUUUCUUCUACUUCUUGCCUUGCAGGUAGCAAUUUUUCCAGCAAAUACAACUUAUCUGAGGAGAGGAAGCCACUACCUGGGAAGUUCACCUGAAAUAAAUAGCUGCAGUUACUGAAUUUGGCUUUAACUGGCAUCUCACUCACUACAGGUCAAUUACGUGCCAGCAUCAGCUUCAUAAUUACAGAGGACUUGAAAACCCAUUGAUAAGGAAACAGGUCACUUGCCAGUCUUUCACAUCUGCCAAAAGUGCAUUUUUACUAUAUUUGGCAACUUUACUGUCUUGGAUAGUUCAGUCUUUUUUUUUUUUUUUUUUUUUUUUUUCUCUAUACCAAACUGCCAUAUUGAAAGGGCUAAAAAAACCCAACCAACCAACCAAACAAGAUAUCCUCAGCUAAAGCCAGAGUAGGGGGACACAGCAGUUAGAGAUUAGCCUGAUUCCCCUCCCAUCAGUACCCUGUUUCCCCAAAAAUAAGACAGGGUGUUAUAUUAAUUUUUGCUCCAAAACUUAUUAUUUUUUUACAUGUAUAGCUGCCUGGACACUACUUAAAUUGACUUGUUUUAUGAACUGUAACUAAGGCUUAUUUUUGGAGUAGUGCUUAUAUUUCAAGCAUCCUCAAAAAUCCUGAAAAAUCACGCUGAGGCUUAUUUUCGGGGAAACAGGGUAGCAAUUAUACUUCUUCCUCUGACAGGUUUUUUUUUAAUGGAGGAAAUACAGAAUGGCACCUUUGCUACCUUCUUCCAUGAUGUUUCCUCCUCCAUUACAAUAACGUUUCAGUAUCUUGAACAUCCUUGGGUAUUAAAAUACUUUUAUUGGUAUUUCUUAGGAGCUUCACUUUUGAACAGCUUGUGGGACUAUGGUGGAUCCGUGGAUUCCCUGAUGGAGGGCAUGGGAACAGAAAUUAGCCUUGAAGAUAUUAAGGCCUACCCAUGAGAAAGAUGGGAGUAAAGGAGUAUCCGGAGAUGUUAAGGAUGUACCCGUGAGAGAGAAGGGAGUAGAAGAGUAACAUUGAUGAUAGCAAAAAUAGCCAAUGAGAUGUUACUGCUGUAACUUGUAACCAAUAGUGAAGAGACACGUGAAUUGGUAAAACUGUAUAAAAAUGCACUUGUGGCAAUAAAUGGCAUCUACUACUUUCAUCCUGGAAGAACUUGGUCUAUGUCGUUUGUCCGUCUCAGCCAUGACAACAGCUACAGGACCCUGAUGAAGUGAUAGAAUAUUUAACAGGAAAAUGCUGUGGGUACUCCAAAGAAGCACAACUUACUGCAUUGUGCUGGGUCCUAGCCCCAGCCAAUAUCUACGAAGCACUGCUCAAUAUUAUGCUGCAUCCCCAGGGCAAAAGAGGGAAAACAGACCAACAGCACUGUGGCUACUCAAACCCAGACGACAGGCACUGUAGCUGAACCAGAGAACCAACCCAUGUCUGUAUCAGUCUCCCCUAUACAGAAAAAGAAAUAUGCAAAAAAGAAAAUCAGUUUGUUCAGUGUGGGAUGAUGAUGAAGUAGGGUCAUCUUGAGAACAGGAAGAAGAGGUAGAACCAGAGAUAAUCACCCGAUCCCUAUCCCUGAGUGAGCUGUGAGGUAUGCAAAAAGAUUUCAGCCACCAUCUCGGCAAGCACGUUGUUGUCUGGUUGCUCCAAUGCUGAGAUAAUGGGGCCAGUAACUUGGAAUUAGAGGGUAGGGAAGCCAAGCAGCUGGGAUCCCUGUCUAGUGAAGGGGGCAUUGACAAGGCAAUUGGGAAAAAAACCACAAGCCCUCAGCCUCUGAAGGCAACUUCUGUCUGGCGUGAAGGUAUCUCUUCAAGGAAGAUGUUACCCAUCACCCAGGCAAGUGGACCACCAUAGAGAGAGGUAUCCAGUACCUGAGGGAAUUACCCAUGCUGGAGGCAAUUUAUAAUGACCAUAAUCAUAUGCUAACUCAUUGGCAGUAACGUCUUCAAAAGAAGGCAAGGGACAAAUGGUGGAGGAAUUGGCUGGCCAACUCAGCAGUACGAAGAAAUCUCUCUUCCUCCCUAUGGGCCUGCAUCUUGGCUGUGGAGAAACUGCCAGACAUGCUAGCUGAGAAAAUGUUCUGAGAGUUCCAGCAAUCUGAGGUCAAGUUCUGCUCCCCACAAACUAGUGUACAAACUAGUACAAACUAGUAUCUGAGCUAUUAUGAGUAAGUGUUUCUUGGCUCAAGAAAGAGGAAAUAAAGGGUACACACCAUGAGGCACCCUGUGGUUUUACCUGCAUGACCAUGGAGAGGACAUGAGGAAGUGGGAUGCAAAACCUACCUCGACCCUAGAAGCACAGGUACAUGAGUUGCAAGGAAAAACAAUCACAAAAGGGGAUUAUACCAGGAAAAAUGAUGUUCCAGUUUGCAGCAGGCAGUUCCCCAGACAGAGUAGAAGGGUUGAUCUUACCUCUAACCCUCUUGAAGGGACUUCUGAUUCAUUUUUACAAUAAACAAGUAGUGCAUACUAUGAUCAGGACUAGAGGGGCCCUGCCUCCAGCCAGGUGGAGCAAAGUGACAACCAGGAUUACUGGACUGUAUGGAUUCCAUGGCCUGCCACAUCAGACCCACAAGAGUACAAGGCUCUAGUGGACACCGGUGCACAAGGUACCCUAAUUCCAUCAAACUAUGAAGGGGUAGAACCCAUCUGUCCUUCUGGAGUGACCGGGGAAUCUCAAUAGUUGACUGUAUUAGAAGCUGAAGUGAGACUAGCUAGGAAAGAGUAGCGAAAACACCCCCUAUUGACUGGCCCAGUAGCUCUGUGCAUCCUUGGCACAGACUAACUCAGAAGAAGAUAUUUUAAGGACCCAAAAGGGUACUGGUGGACUUUGGGCAUAGCAGCCAUGGAGACAGAGGGCAUUAAAUAGCUUUCUGCCUUGCCUGGUCUCUCAGAGGACCCUUCUGUUGUGGGGUUGCUGAGGGUCAAAGAACUAACAGGUGCCAAUUGCUACCACGAUGAUGCACCGGCAGCAAUAUCGCACCAACCAAGACUCCCUGAUCCACAUCCAUAAGUUGAUUCAUCAACUGGGGACUCAAGGAGUGAUCAGUAAGACUCACUCUCCCUUUAACACUCCCAUAUAGCCAGUGUAAAAAUCUAAUGGAGAGUGGAGACUAACAGUAGGCUAUUGUGGCCUGAAUGAAGUCACGCCACCAUUAAGUGUUGCCAUGCGAGAACUGCAAUAUGAACUGGUGUCAAAGGCAGCCAAGUGGUAUAGCAUAAGUGAUAUUGCUAAUGUGUUUUUUCUCAAUCCCUUUGGUAGCAGAGUGUAGGCCACAGUUUGCUUUCACUUGGAGGGGCAUCCAGCACACUUGGAAUGGACUGCCUCAGAGGUGGAAAUGCAGCCCUACCAUUUGCCAUGGGCUGAUCCAGACUGCACUGGAACAGGGCAAAGCUCCGAAACACCUGCAAUACAUUGAUGACAUCAUUGUAUGGGGCAACACAGGAAAAAAAAAAUCUGAGAAAAGGUUGAAAACCCAAAUUCUUCCAAAAGCUGGUUUUGCUAUAAAACACAGUAAGGUCAAGGGACCUGCACAUGAGAUCCAGUUUUUACAAAUAAAAUGGCAAGAUGGACAUCAUCAGAUCUCAAUGGAUGUGAUCAACAAGAUAACAGCUAUGUCUCCACCAACUAGCAAAAAGGAAACACAAGCUUCCUUGUGCAUUGUGGGUUUUUAGAGAAUGCACAUUCCAAGCCACAGUCUGAUUGUAAGCUAUCAAGUGACCUGGAAGAAGAACAAUUUCAAGUGGGACCCUGAGCCUUUGAACAAAUUGAACAGGAGACAGUUCAUGCAGUAGCCCUCAGGGCAGUCUGGGCAGGACAAGAUGUUAAAGAUGUGCUCUACAUUGUAGCUGGGGAGAAUGGCCCUACCUGGAUUCUUUGGCACAAAGCAUCAGGGGAGACUUGAGGUCAACCCUUAGGGUUUUAGAGUUGGGGAUACAGAAGAUGUGGGUUGUUCUAUACUCCAACUGAAAAAGAGAUACUAGCAACGUAUGAAGGGGUUCGAACUGCUUCAAAAGUGAUUGGUACUGAAGCACGGUUCCUCCUGGCACCUUAACUUCCAGUGCUGGGCUGGAUGUUCAAAGGCAAGGUCCCCUCUACACAUCAUGCAAAUGAUUACUACAUGAAAUAAGUGGGUCACAAACAUCACACAAUGGCCUCAAAUAGGAAAGCCCAGUCACCCAGGGAUCUUGGAAGUGAUCAUGGACUGGCCAAAAGAAUAACACCAGAGAAGGAGGUAACAUAUGCUGGAGAGGCUCCACUAUAUAAUAAAUGAGAAGCAAUAUGCUCUUUUCACUGAUGGGUCCUGCCGCAUUGCAGGAAAGCAUUGGAGGUGGAAGGCUGCUGUAUGAAGUCCUGUACGACAAGUCACAGAAGCUGCUGAAUGAGGUGAAUUGAGCCAGUUUACAGAGGUGAAAGCCAUCCAGCUGGCUGCAGAGAUUACUGAAUGAGAAAAAUGGCUAGUGCUCUAUCUCUACACUGACUCAUGGAUGGUGGUAAAUGCCCUGUGCGGGUGAUUGCAGCAAUGGAAGAGGAGCAACUGACAGUGCAAAGGCAAACCCAUCUGGGCUGCCCCAUUGCCCCAUUGUGGCAAGAUAUCGCUCUCCUAUUGAACUGUCUUUAUCUCAACUCACAAGUUUUGCCUUUUGCCUUUUUUUUUUUUUUUGACUCUACUCCCCAUCCCACCAGGGGGGACCACGACAGUCUGUUAUAUUUCAGUUUUUCCUAAGACAUGUUGGAGGCCAAAAGCAUGUCAAACAUGAAAAUUCACAGGAUAUCCAAACAAGUUAGUUUAUUAAUUAGUAUAUUCUCAGUAAAGAGCUAUUUAGAAAUGUCAUGGUUUAAUCCCAGUUGGCAGCUAAGCACCACACAGCUGCUCACUCACUUGCCCACACUCAGAGGGAGGGAGGAGAGAAUCGGAAGGGUAAAAGUGAGAAAACUUGUGGACUGAGAUAAGGACAGGUUAAUAGGCAAAGUAAAAGAUGCAUGCACAAGCAAAGCAAAAUAGGAAUUAAUUCACUGCUUCCCAUUGGCAGGCAGGUGUUUAGCCAUUUCCAGGAAAGCAGAGCAUCAGCACACAUAACAGUUACUUGGGAAGACAAAUGCCAUAACUCCGAAUCUCCUUCCUCUCAGCUUUUAUUGUUGAGCAUGACAUCACAUGGUAUCAAAUAUCCCUUUGGUCAGUUGAGUCAGCUGUCCUGACUGUGUCCCCUCCCAAGUUCUUGGGCAUCUCCAGCCUAUUUGCUAGCAGGGCAGUGUGAGAAGCAGAAAAGGCCUUGAUACUGUGUAAGCACUGCUCAGCAAUAACUAAAACAACAUUGUGUUAUCAACAGUAUUUUCAGCACAAAUCCAAAACAUAAUCCCAUACAGGCUACUAUGAAGAAAAUUAUCUCAGACAAAACCAGUACAAGAAAGAAUUGGAUAUGUUCUGAUAAUAGCCUUGUGCAUUGCGUUAGGUUAUCUGACCACACUGCAAGAAACAGACUAAAUGAGACACUCAACAAUUAGGGUCUCUUCUUGCUUGAGUUAUUAGUUAAUGUUCUACAUGUUCAGUGUUAAGCUGUACCAUGGAAGCUUAUUCACUUACCUUGAACUCUAUGAUUAGACAUCCUUUUUCAUAUGGCCUAUGAUAUAUUGGCAUGCCUUCAUUCAGCACACAUUUAAUAUCCCCAUGUUUGACAGUCUGGCCUUAAGUGAAUAAAAAACAACAACAACAAAAACAAACAAACAAAAAAAAACCACACCAAAACAAAACAAAAAAACUCCAGGCAGGCAAAACAAGCAAUUUUAGUUUCAAUGUCUUUCAGGAUGUAUUUGUACAGCUCUGUAAGCUGUGUUUCAACAACUAUACUGAUAUCCAGUAGUCUCAUAGGGACCUACUACCUGAUCACUUUUGCAUAGGAGAACAUGUGCACAUCUAUGCUAUAUUCUACCAUUUUGUAUGCUUCUCAAAGGGAGCAUACCUAUGAAUGUAAAGUAUUCCAGGAAAUCCAAAUCUGAAAAAUUCAUCUUCGGAGACCUUGAGUAUCCUCAGGAUAUCAGCACAUCCAUGAAGUAAAAUUUGUUACUGUAUCAUAAAAAGAAACACAUAGUUACUGUUGCCCACUAAGCAAAAUUUUUAUUUAUUUAACGCUCUCUGCUGUAAAAACUUGGGGGGGGAGGAGGGAAAAUGUCAGGGAUUGGCUCAAGGAGCGUGGACAUGAGUCCACUGAGCAACUGUACGAGCAGAGCCCAUUUUAGUUGACAUAAGUAGGCCUCAGUUAGCUUUUCUAUUAGGCCAUGGGAAAGGGGAAAAUGGAAAAGUACUGACUAAAGCAGGGUCAGGAUAUCCUUGAAGAGAUAAGAGUCAAAAGAAUGCGGGAUGCGCAUAGCUAGCUAAACCCAAGUAGGUGGAGUAAGUAAAUGUAACCUUUUAGUGCUUAGCCUAUCAGAUAGAGACAAGUAUGCAUAAUUAUGGUAUUUGGUAUAAAUACACGCUAUCUUGGGCAAUAAAGUUGAAUCAUGCUUUAUCACUCACAUUGAGUCGGCCUGCAUGUUUUUCUCAGCCGCGUACUCGCAAGUGGCGCCCGAACAGGGACUCUCGAAGGAGCGGCUGAAGCAGAGGGGCACCGGGAAGCAGCGACCGGGGGGUCAAGAGCGACCGAACACUGCGUGCGUCGGUGUGUCAUCUUCGAGGACCUGAACUGAAUUUAGGAGUUCGCCAUCUGCAUGGGCUACAGGGCAAGGGCUGCAGGUGGUACCAGGUUUACAAGGUACCAAGGAUUAUAGGGUAAGGCGCCUUUCUUUUGCCUAAGGGCAGGUAUCAGGAUUUCUUUUGCCUAAGGGCAGGUAUCAGGAUUUUUUUUUGCCUAAGGGCAGGUAUCAGGAUUUUUUUUUUUUUGCCUAAGGGCAGGUAUCAGGAUAUGGAUAAAGGAACUAUGGAUUUAGAAGUAGCCCAAGAUUUAUUACAGCGCUUUCUAGAAAAGCGGGGGGGGGGGGGGUUGAGUGUAUCAAGCAUCUAGCUGGUCUAGUUGCAGUAGGUCGAGUGAAAGGGUGUUUUUCGAAUACUGAUUCGCUCUUUGAUGUGUCGGAAUGGAGAAAAUUAGGAGACAUACUAUGGGAUAUGGUUAUAGAUGAUGAUAAAUCAGCGAAAAACCUCAAAAGACUAUUAACUUGGUGCAGAGGCAAUAGGUAUCCUGCUGACCUGUCAGGAGUUUUUCGAAUAGAGACUUGGAAAAAGAUGGGAACUGUGUUGUGGAAGGCAAUUAGUCACCAUGAAAAAUAUAUUCUCGGCCUUGUAACCAUAUGGAAACUGAUAAAUACUACAGUGAAGCAAUGAAAACCUGAAAAGACUUUUACGAGCAUUAGUGACUCAAAACUUAAACUUGAACUUUGGGACAGAGCAUUAACUGAUAACACGCAGGUCACAGUAAACUUGCUGAAGUCUGCACAAUGUUUUCCUUAUUAGCCUGUUUUCUUUGUGGGUAUCUGUUUAAGCAUGUUGCAAUUUUGGUAGGUCUUUGUUAUAUGGUACAGUAAGCUCACAGACUGUUAAAUCAUGAGAAUCGGUUGACUCAAAAGGUGCGUUUUGUGAUAGUACAAAAGAUCAUGAGUAAUUUAGUUCCUUACUGCGUGAACGUGAUGUUAAGAUUUUAUGUGUAGUAGCUGUUAUAUUUUUUUCUAGCGUACUAGCUUUAUUCCAAUAUCCAGACUUGCGCAACUCUGUGACAGGCUGUCUCUCAUCUCGGUGCACUAAAUUUGGCCUUUUUGUAUGCACAUCAAGUAAAGAAUCCUGGUUUUAGAAUAACAGUUGUAGCGCACCAGAUGAGACACUAAUAAAAGGCCUUGCCCAGUCCAGCUCACUGCGGCGGCGGGGGGGCGGGUGCCAAAUGGGCCUCCUGCGCGCACUGACCCAUUUUGUCAGGGAGACCCAGAGGUACCUCCACCUGGCUGAGCAGUAAGCGGUUCAAAGGUGCAAUGCAAAAAAUUGAGAUAUUGUCUUAAAUUGGUGUAAGUGUGAUCCAUCUGCUUAUUUGAACUUGGUAUAUGGUUUUCAUAUCUGAGCUCAGUAUUUUAGUUUGCAUAUUCAUAUUUGGUACCAAAAGAAUCUUGUUUGGGGAGAGAAUUACAAAAUGGGAACUGGUUCCACUGCUAAAAUUCCACCUUGCUCCCCCUUAGGAUGCACCCUUACACAUUAGAGUAAUCGCUUAUAUUGUUAGAAAAGCAUUUAAAUUGUUAAAAUACUAUGAUAGAUGUGAACUUGGGGUAUUGUAUGAAGUUAUGAAGUUGUAUUUAAAGGUUGCUGGAAUGUGAACUGAUUUGGAUCUAGGACAAUAGAAUAAUGGAUUUAUGUUUAUUAUACUGGUUUAUACUGUUUUUUGACAUCUCUAAAUUGUAAAAGGUAAAUGGAGCUAAGGAAUGUAACUAUUGCUGAGCUACUUGAAAUUGCAUAUAAAGUGUAGUUGGAAUGAAAUGGGAAAACAAAAGAGCAAAAUAUCCCAGGCCUGUGUGCAGCUCAUUGUAACUGAGAAGUUUCCCAGAGCCUCCUACUUCGUACCAGCCAGUAUGCCAGCUGCGUGACCUUGGUUAUAUCUACACUGCAAAGAAAGAAAAAACAACUGGAAAAACCUGGCUGCCCGCUUUUAAAGCAGUGAAAGGGGGGUUCUCUCUCCCCCCACUGCAGCGAUGUAAUACUGAAUGGAGCAGUCCGAGGGUGAAGUUUAAAGGCAUCCUGAGCAGACCCGUAGUUCUAAUGAAACUGGAAAAUUAAACCAAAAAUUUGUUGAUAGACUUAUCCUGUGGUAACUAGUUGUAAGAGACUUCUUAGUAAAUUCACCAUGCUAUUUUUUUGAGGUCAUGGGAGACAACGAAAGAAAGGCCGUUUUUUGAGACCAAUGGAAUGCCAGAUUUGGAACAAAGUUUUAAUACAUGAAUUCUUGUAUUUGCCCAAAAGUCCUAUACCUCUCUUGGGUCAGGAUUUGUUAAGUAAAUUGUAAGCUCAAAUAAUGUUUUCUGAGAAUUCUGUUUAGUUGCAUGUCCUACAAGAAGCUGCUUGGAUGGUGCAGAUCUGCUUGUGCAAGUGAGAAAUCUUCAAGGAACUUUUGAAUGCUGUAUUUCCAAUAGUAUUAACAGCCAAUGUUUUGAUAAAGCAAAUACUACACUGAUAGAUCUGAAACAGGACUUCGAUCCAGUAAGGGAAAACAAUAUCCAAUAAAUAUGACAGCCAAAAUGCAGUUGGAAACUUUGAGGAAUGAAUUUAUGACAACUUUACAGGCUGACUGCAUUUGAUUGGACUUGCAGAUUUGUCUAUGAAACAACCUGUGGCUAUUGUGGGACAGUAUGAUGAGAAUGCUAACAGACUGAUAUACCAAUUGUCACUCUAAUCAAGAAAAUGCAGGGAAUGAAUUUAAGUCUUAAUAGGCCAUGAUCCUUUUGUCAUAUAUGUACCAUUUGUGAAAUUUAAUUCUGAUUUUUUUUUUCCUUAUUUGUAAUCUAUGUCUUUGUAAAUUGCACUAGCUGGUUUUCUUAACAGCACAGCUUUUAGUAUGCAUAAAUGUAAAUUGCUGCAGAACCUGCAAGUCUUUAACAUCAGGUCAUAGGCCAUACUUGUAUUUGGUCUGAUCCUACAUACUUGCAUAGUUUUUGUUGAUGGUUCAGAGAAGUCUCAUGAAGCUGUAGUGGCUUAGCGUGAAGAUAGCGAUUAGCAUCAUUCUGUGAAAAUUAUUGAAAGUUCAACCCAAUUAGCAGAACUUGGCACAGAUUUAAAUUAUUUAGAGAUUUUUAAGGAGAAACCUCUAAAUUUGAUUUGCGAUUUUGAGUACGUAGUCAAGAUCCAACGCACGUAUCUGAUUCUGAACUGUGUUUUUGUUUUGUUUUGGUUUGUUUUUUUUUUUUUUUUUAAACAAAAAGGGGGGAGAAGUAGGGAAAACAUCACAAAACCAAUUGUCAAAAGGAUUGUAUGUGAUGAAUCACUUAUAUCUAAGUGGUGCAGCCUAAAUUUGCCCUGUGAUGAAACACUUUGUAAGUAUGACCCAAAACCAUGCUAAAUCAGAAAAAACCUACAUUAGUUAUGGUCAAAUCACUAGUUAACGGUCAAUGGAAAAGGCCACACCAAUUGAUAACCUGGGGGAGAGGUUAUGCUUGUGUUUUUACAGAUCAAGGGCCGCAAUGGUUGCCAGCACGAAAUGUGAAACCUGUGUUAUCUUCCUGACAAUGAUUGUUGCUGCUGCUGUGUUUUGGAUGCCUGCACAGACAAAGACUAACAUGUGGAUUACUUUAGCCAACAUGACUGACCAGGACUCUAUAUGCCUAACUACGAUGUCUCUGGAAAAAACGUUCCACACAUGCUUGGUUGGUGUCUUCCUUGAUGACUACAGCAGCAUCACACGACUGUUUCAAAUAGUGGUCGAUGCAGAGGCAUUGCAACGAACUGUAAUAAUACUAACAUGGCACUUUGGAUUAAUUGCCUUCUGGAAGCAGACAUCGAACCACAGGAACUGGAAUUGCUGGCAUCUAUGCCCAUGGAUGCUUGUAUCCAGCUGGUUUGUGAAAAGUGUCAGAACAGUAUACAAGAACAUGAAUGGAUAAAACUGCAAAAUGUUAAUGCUACCCUUGGUGACUACAGAAAUGAAACUCGAUGGUGUAAUGCUUCACAGAAGAAUCCAAGGGAUGUCAUUGAUAAUGUGGGACAGCGACCCCAAAACCUCCUGUAUGGUGUAUUCUUGAUCUGUGAAGAUAGAGCCUGACCAGGAAUUCCUUCUAAUGCUGUUGGAGGACUGUGUAUUUUGGGACUAUUAACUCUCUUAAUGCCCAGUGUAUCUAUGAUAAUAGAUCACAGAAGAGCAAGACGAGAAAAACACUUUUUGCAUGUGUAUGAGUCAAAAUGUGAUGAUAAUGUAGAUUUUUGAGGAUCAGGGUUAAGGGUUUUAGGAUCUCUUUUAUCUAGUGAUGGCACAACUGAAGCUUUAAAUACUUUAGAAAAAUUAGGAUGCUGGCUAGUUAAGCAAACAAACAGAACUUCUAAGGCUUUAAGUGGACUUUUGUUAGAUGUAGAUUCUGUAAGACAUGCUACACUGCAGAAUACAGUCACAGGAGACUUUUGUUAUUAGCCCAUGGCCAUGGAUGUGAGGAAUUUGACGGAAUGUGCUGUAUGGAUUUACAGGAUAAGUCCAUCCACAAGGAGAUUAAACAACUUACGGACCAUUCACAGACGAUCAGAGAGGAUAUGGGCCUCUUUGGCUUAGAGGGCCUCACGAACUGGUUUGGUCUAGGAGGCUGGGUAAAAGGGCUUUUGCAGAGUGCUCUGGCUCUCUUAAUGAUAGUAGUAGUUGUAUUAAUAUGCUUGAGCUGUGCUAUAUCAUGUAUUAAGAAGAUUUUAGAGCAGACACUUGGGCAGGCUCUGCUCGUAAAAAAAAAAAAAAAAAGAAAAGAGGGGAGAUGUCAGGGAUUGGCUCAAGGAGCAUGGACAUGAGUCCACCGAGCAACUGUACGAGCAGAGCCCAUUUUAGUUGACAUAAGUAGGCCUCAGUUAGCUUUUCUAUUAGGCCAUGGGAAAGGGGAAAAUGGAAAAGUACUGACUAAAGCAGGGUCAGGAUAUCCUUGAAGAGAUAAGAGUCAGAAGAAUGCGGGAUGCGCAUAGCUAGCUAAACCCAAGUAGGUGGAGUAAGUAAAUGUAACCUUUUAGUGCUUAGCCUAUUAGAUAGAGACAAGUAUGCAUAAUUAUGGUAUUUGGUAUAAAUACACGCUAUCUUGGGCAAUAAAGUUGAAUCAUGCUUUAUCACUCACAUUGAGUCAGCCUGCAUGUUUUCCUCAGUCGCGUACUCGCAGGAAAAGAAGUAGUAUUUUAAGGAUCAAUCCUUUCUGCUCCCCUAUGCUAAUUGCUUGCUUUUCAGCUUGCAUUUGCUGGAUGCACAGAUUUUUAGCACAAAGCAAACCAACACUUACCAGGAUGAGAACUAAUAAUUAUAUUUCUGUUAUCCAGUGUUGCAAUAGGCUUUUGAAAGCCACACAGUGCUUCAACCAGCUGUAUAUCCCCUCACCUAUUGUAGAACCAAGCAACAAUAGUCAGGGGUGCAAUGAGGGAAUAGGAAGAGUGAGAAGGACCAUGCCUAAACUCAAGUAUUAAAUUCGGUGCAGAAAAUAAAUUUGGAAACUUAAUACUAAGAAGCCUGACCAGUAAAAUAGAGAACAUUAACUAUUAACUAAGCCAACUACUUCAGGGAUAAUACCUGUGAUAAGAGCCAUUUACUACUCAAGGACAGUUAUUCAAAAGCUAACCCCCCCAAACCAUACCAUGCACAACAGCAUUCAGUUUCAUUUCACUGUGCUUUCCUCCUUCUGAGAAAAGGUCUGUCUCAGCCUCCAAACUUCUGCUGUUGAGACAAUUAACCCCUUUAACAGUCCAAAUUAAAAAAAAAUAAUUGCAUAAUACUGUCAUAUAUCAGCACAAUCAUCUAAAGAAACAAGAUGCAGCGACACUUUUUUAAUCACUCUUUUUUAUUCUUCUCCAACAUCAUGUUUGGCUUUCAAAUGUUGUGGGCAACACUAGGGAUCUAAUGUGAUUUUGUACCUUCUUAGUUACAUCAUUAGGGGAGACUAACUCCCCUGAGAUCAUACUGCUGCCCUAAUCUGGUAAAGCUGAUCUUUUUUGACUAAUUUAAAUAUCCUCACUUCAAAAGUAGAUGCCUAGGGAAGAGUACAAGAGUAAGGUAAGCAGAUGACACUGCCCCAGAAUACACUCAGCAUCCAGCCCUUAUCAAGCACAAGGACUUUAACUGGGAAGUGUAUUUUUUUUCCCUCCCUUUCACAAAAUCUAUUGAUGGCUAUUGACCACUGACAGCAUCUUACACCAAUCAUUUUCAUAUCCACAUACAAAGUGCUACUUCCAGUUCUGAACCUCAUACAACCACAGAAUGGCUGUAGUUGGAAGGAACUUCCAGAGGUCAUCUGGUCCAGCUCCUCUGCCCAAGCAGAUUCACCUGGAGCAGGCUGCCCAGGACCACAUCCAAACAGUUUAUUAAUAUCUCCAAGGAGGGAGAUUUCACAGCCCCUCUGGGCAACCUGUUCCAGUGCUUGGUCACCCUCCCAGUGAAAAAGUUUCCCUACAUUCAGACAGAAUCACCUGUGCUUCAGUUUGUGCCCACUGCCCCUUGUCCUGUUGGUAACAGUAACUGUAAUAUCUCAAGUGAUUCAAAGAGACAGACAACAGUUGCUCCUACACAAAUUCUCCCUACACAAAUUCUUCCUCUUCCUUCCUCCUCUCUUUUCUCCAAGGAAGGAUCUACUUAAAAAAAAAAAAAAAUCACUCUCCACAUAGAAGCUAUUCCAUCUUUUCCUCAUUACCUUCUGUAUCUUUGUGUAUGGGGUCUGGCUGGGAUGGAGUUAACUUCAUUUUAUAGCAGCCCAUGUGGUACUGUGUUUUAAAUUUGUGACUGACUUAUUGAACUGUCUUUAUUUCACCCCACAAGUUUUCUUGCUUUUGCUCUUCCUAUUCUCUCCCCCAGGAUGCUGGGGAGGGGGUGGGAGGGUAAAUAAGCAAGCAAAUCUGUGGCUUUCUGCCUGGGGUCAACCCACUACACUUUUAAAUGUAAAAUCUGCAUUACAUGCAGUAUUCAAGGUACAGGCACACCACAGAUUUUUAUAUAGACAGCAAUUAGUUUUGUCGUCAUCCCAUGUCCUCCCCCCCCCAAAUUCCUAACAUUUUAUUUGCUUCUUAGCAUUGAGAUGAUCUAUUAAUAGAUCUGUUACAACCAACAUUUUGGCACUGCUGAGAUCCCACUAUGUGCAAGUAUUAAAGUUUAUGCACUUCAUUUUACAUUUAACAUUCAACUGAAAUUUUCAUGUUUGUUGCAUUAUAUAAUGCAAUCAUUCUGCAACUCUAAUCAACUUCCAUCUUCCUUAACCUGUAAAAGUUCUGUAUCAUCAAAUCAUCACCUCAGAUUUUAAAUGAAAUUAAAGGUCCCCAGUGCAGGUCUUUUUAGGAUUCAUUUGGGGUCUCAUCAUCUUUCUUUAUCAGAGGGAAUUAUAUUCUUACCUGGUUUCCUACUUUUUAGCCUGUAAUCCAUGUAAUAUUCCCUUCCACUCCUUAGUAGUUUAGUAUAUUCAAAAACUCUUUGCUGAAAAAUUUCAUUCAAUGCCAUUUCAGCAAUUCAGUGGUUCACUUGGAUCUCCCUAACCUGCAGUAAACACCACUGCAAGUGUGAAAGCUUGAGCAUUUCUGAUUAAAGAAAUCUUAACUUGAAACACUUCAGCCAAACAAAGAGUUAAUAUUUUCUGCUAUUAAAAAUAAUAACCUGAAGGUUACUGUAGAUAAAGUAGAUACGGUAAUUUUAGUGAGACUGAAAACAAAAUGCAGAGCUCAGAACUUUUAUUUCAAAAGAAGUCAGAAACAACUCUUGACUACACUAAUCAGUUUAAAAAUCAGAAAUUUUAACAUGGAGAAGGGAACAGCCUGAACACUUAAGAACACUCAAUCCUGUGUUGUAAGGGGGCCUUUUAAAUGCAGCUGGAUAAAUUAUCAAAGAAUCAUGGAAUAGGUGAGGUUGGAAGGGACCCUUCGGAGGUCUCUAGUCCAACCCUCUUUGUCAGCUAGAGCAGGUUGGUCAGGGCCACAUCCAGUCAGAUUUUGAAUAACUGUAAGGAUGGAAACCCCACAGCUUCUCUGGGCAACCCAUUCCAGUGUUUGACACCACUCCCCCAAAUUAAAAAAAAAAAAAAAAAAGCUUUUUCUUAAGUGGAAUUUCCUAUAUUUUAUUUCAUGUCCAUAUGUACCUUAGAUGCUAAACACUUUGCAAUGCUUUUUAAAUUAAGAUAGCUGUGGGACAGUAUUCUCAUCUGGACUACAGUAAACAAAAAUAUGGAGCAAGAAAUUAGUUAACCAGUUGGCCUUGAAGGCUGAUGUCCAACUGGGGAUUGAUCAAUACAAAAUUCUAGGUCACAUACUCGAAGACUAAAACCUUAAUAUAUGCAGCAAGCUCAGCUAGAGAUGAUUAAGUGUAAAGGUAGCAAUGAAAUUGCUAUGUCAACUGUUCCACUCACAAAAAUUAUUUCCAGCAGAAAUAAGAAAGUAUUUGUGCCACUGAACAAGACUGUAGCAAAAUUCAAAGUCUCAUACAUUUCUAUUCAGCUACAUUAGAUGACAAGUCAAGUAAAACUCCCUCCUCAACACUAGACAAGCUUGAUUUGCAAAACUGAGGGAAUGCAAUUGCUUAUAGAUACUGUAUACUAUAUUAAGGAAGACAGUCAUAUACAUUUAUUGUAUACAUUGAUGUACACAGGCAGGUACAAGUUAGCUGCAAUAAGUUAAGCUUGAUAAUUAACUUGAAUAUAUUUAGGUAUCAACAUCCUCAAAGAACCUUCCAAAUGGAAUCAAAAGAACAAAACAGGACUUGGCUUUAUGAGCAGUGUAAAGCCAGAGACUUGAAAUUGCCCUAAGGUAGUAAAUUAGAACAGCUACUACCAAGUACACAACAAAAUAUAUCCAGUAACAAACAGCUAGGUUUUAAGACAGGACUGAAAGAAGUCUCUAAGUGAAUUGUCUCUCCUACACUUCAGUUGCCUCUGAUACCUGUAUUUCUGAAUAUUAAGAUAUUAGAGGACACAUAUAGCUUAGAAAGAUUUUAUAGGACACGGAUAGCUUAGAAAAAUGUUGCUGAUUGCUAGGGCUCUAGUGACCUUUAAAGGCUAACCAAAGGUUUGUAACAUAACUAGCCACACAAAGUUCCUUGUGUAAGCAGAUCACGUAGUAGAGAUUUACGACAUAUUCUUUAGGAACAGGAUGUUGAAGUAAUAAUUAAUUAGAGAAAACACAGGUGUUGCUCAAAGAAUAGCUUAUGUAAGUAGGUAUCUACUGCACUUGCUCGAGGAGUUGCCAAUGAGGAGAGGUCAUUUGCCAGACACGAGAGAAGACCCUUGAAGAUGGAAGUUGCAACCGCUGAACAGACUGUAAGAGGCUACAAUACCAGCUAAAGAAUGUUAGAUGGCAGCAAAGAUCGUGAAAUAACUAACUUAAUGUUUAUGUAAUCAUUUCUUAGUAUAGGUGCAUCGUAUGUUAAAAAUUUCCAGAAUUGUAAAUAUAUGUAAUUUUUCUGUCAAUAUAAGCAAAGCAAAAAUGAUCAGUCUUUGGCACACUCAUGGUGGAUCAUCCCCAGUGUGUCUCAGCACUGAAUAAAAGGAAUGCUACUUUUAAAACCUUAAAAUGUGGUUUUGAGAGUUAUUAAUUUGCCAUUUUUUACAGUAUCACCUCCUUCAGAGUCUCCUACACUCCCUUCUGAAGGUCUGGUGGUAACGAAGUUUAGAAAGCAACUCUGAGUCACUCUGAAAGGAACUUCUAGAUGAAACCUGGAUGCAUCCAGUUAAGUCAGAACUGAAAAUUAAAGAAGUUACAUUAAAGUCAGCACAAAUGAUGUCUGCAUGUACUGGUUUAUUCAGGAGUUUAGUUUAAGGGCACCUCAAACCUAUUAAAAUAACUUGGACUUGUUAAAAAGGACAAAUUUAAAGGUGUCUAGAAAGAGACUUGCCUGGAAAGUAGGGACAGGAGGUACAUUCUGUCUGCCCCAGAAGUGGCAUUACCUCAGCAUAACCCCACAAAACUACUGAUAUCAAGGAACAUCUAACAAGGCUAAAGCUCAAGCCAGUGCAGGGGGUUGGACACCAAUACUCCAGUACAAUCAAAACUUCAAGUCCCAGGCAACAUCAUAAAUGCAUGGACCAGACAGACCCUUUGACACAACUGAUUCAAUACCUGGUUUCACUGGAAGCUGGGUAGACAAAAUUGCUCAUCACUAGCCUGCCAAAUGCCAUAAAAGUUCCAAUUCUUUUAUCUGCAAGCUCAAUGCUGGAAGCUGUUAACAGUAGUGUUCCAUCUGUCCUGCCUCAGCACAAAGUUUUGGCAUCAGCUUCUGGAGUUAAGCACCAUACAAGGCUGCUGAUUGGACUGACUACAGGCUAUACUAGAGCCUUAGACCUAUAUUAUUCCUACUUACAGGGACAAAGGGAUGAGCUGGUAGACUAAGUGCCCUCAUGUUAAGAGACCAAUGCCUUCCCAAAUUCAUUGUUCCCCUCAUGAAUGCUCUGAUCAACAGUUAGUUACACUUGGUACCUACUGCUCAUCCUCUAGAGCAGGGGUGUCAAACUCAUUUUCACCAGGGGCCACAUCAGCCUCACGGUUGCCUUCAAAGGGUCAAAUGUAAUUUUAGGACUGUAUAAAUGUAGGAGUAAUUACCUCUGCUCUAGAGAUUGCUAAAGUGCUGCUUUCUCCACAUGACAGACUCAUUUCACAAAGUAACUUGAAACAAUGGACUUUAACACAAAGCAACAUUGUCAGGCAAUGUGAAGUACUUGACUAACACAGUUGACACUACCCAGUUGUUUCGAUUCCACAGAUUACCAGUCCUCUCCAUUCCUCAUGUUACCCAAUGCAUUCAGGCAAGAAAAACACAUAGGAGGUAGAUCACCUUGAUAUUAUGCAUAUAGGAUGCACACUUCUGACUGUAAGGUGUCCAUAAAGAGGAUCCUGAGAAAUAGCACAAGCACUGAAGCACAAUCCUGAGAAAUAGGCACAGGCACUCCAAGGCAGAAGAAACGACAUAACAAGCAGUUGCCUAUGCUAGAUCAGUGUUUAGUAUUGGAGGGCUUUCACAGAAGGAGGCAAGAACAAGAAAUUAGUAAGGCAAGAACUGCUACAGAUAUUCACAGCUAUUAAGAAACAAUUAUUUUCCAAUAUUGUUAGUCCUUUGAAGUUUGUGAAUUCCCAAUAUCUAUAACUCCCAUAGGUUUGUCUUGCUUCCUCUCCCACCCCCAGAGAAAGAAGAAAAACUCACUUCAAACAACCCAAAAAAUAAACCAUACAACCACAAACCUUGUACAUUUAGAGCAUCAACUGCUUUGACUAGUUCUACCAGUAUUUCUAGAAAUAUGUCAAUAUCUGACAGCCCAGACCAACUCACAAGCGAGCUCUAGACAUAUAGUUCUAUCUGACAAUAUUCCAGUUACUAAAAAAAGCCAGUGUUAACAGAGAAAGCUUAAAGACAAGCAUCUGAGGAGCAUGCAUAAAGACUCACGGAAUUUACCUCAUAAGUGUAGGGUGCUCUUUUUGAUCUAAGACAAUAAUUACAUCCCCUGGCUCUAGUCCUGGCUCUUGGUCCCCUUCACCACGGAAUGUUAUUUUCUGACCAUCCUUCAUUCCUAUUGCAGAGACCACAUAUUUCAGCUUUUUUUUUUUUUCUUUCCUCUCAAAUGUAACAAUGUGAAAUAUUUUAAUAGGCACUAGCUUGUACUAUGAUAUUACUGAACUUUGAGUUUGCAACAUUAGGACCUUUGCUUGAAGCAAGUAUCUUACCAACUCAUCUUUCCAAAACAUGUUAGUACUACAAACUUGAGCUAUGUUUCAUAAGCAUGAAAUCCCAUUCUAGUAGAAAUUAGUCACAUGCCAAGACAAAAAUCCUUGAGGGAAGUACUAUCAAGAUGGUUUCUAUCAUAUGCACAACCACUACAGAAGAGACAUAGAAGAAAUGUUGCACACAAAGCUUGCUUUAAGAAGUUGAUAAGUCUCUUAAGUCUGUGGCAGAACUACUUGAGAGAAAAGAUCUCAAUGCCUUCAGUUUAGGAAGCACUCUUCUUAGGAGUGUGACUAUCACUCAAGAAAGCAACUUCACCUACAGAAGGGUUAUUGCACUAUUAAUUCUAGCAGCCUGUCACGGAGGCACCCCGAGGUUAGUUUAAGGGACAACAGGGUCCAAAACAACUUUUAUUAAACCAGUGAGAAACAGGGUUUUAGCACUCCAAAAGUGACUUAAAUACAUGUUCGGAUAUCAGUUGAGGAAAAUUAUUAAGGGGCAGCAACUAAUACAACAGGCGGUCCACAGAGUGCAUGCACAUGGCUUCACCCAAAACAAUGCCAGAGCUGUCUCUGAGUCUGGGAGGAGUACACACUUGCCUGUACACAGUGUGGGAUUAUUUUAAAGAGAUACACGUACUCGUAGUGAGUACGGAAAGUGUACACUCACGAUUGUGCGAGGGUAAAUUUAUAAUACACUCGCAAUCCUGCGAGGAGAAAUUUUACUCACACACGUGGCGGCAAGGCAAGCGGAGUCUCCAUCCCGGGGGGACUCUCGGCGGCAGCAUCUCGCUCGUGCUCCGAGAGACCCGCGACAAUGGGCGGAGUCUCGAUGAGAAUCCCGUUUUUUAUAGGCUGAUCAGAUCUGACUGUAGGCAUUCUAGAAGCUUCUCUGCACCCCCACACUGGCUGUGGGGUGCCCCUGAAGCUUCCAAACAUCCCCCACACUGGCCGUGGGCACCCAGCAGCUCCCUGGUGCCUCGGCACUCCCUUCUCCUAACGGCCCUGGCCAGGGUGCUCUGGGGCUAAACAAAAGAAGCUGUUAGCCUCAAACAGCAGAGACAAAGAGGGAGAUGUGUCUACUCCUUCCAUUUUGAAGGAGGGAGGGGGAGAGAGGGGGGUUUGCAUCCUGCCACACAGCCUCAUGCUACCCGGUAGAAAACCAGAAUCACUACAAUAGUCAAAAUUUUGCUCUUUUCAGUAACUUUUAAAGCAGUGUUUAAAAAUAUCAGUGAUAUACUCUUGCCAAGCUUUAAGUUUAGUGUUACUAUGAUAUUCUUCCUCUUAAAGAUGAGACAUUACAUAAAGCACACUUAAGCAGAGAUGCAAAGCAGUUACUGAUUACUGUUAGGUACAAGUCUAUUGUAAGCCACGUACUUGUCAAUGCAUUUUACCUUUCAACUCCAACUCCUCCAAAGACCACUCCCACCUACUUUUGAGCAGCCUACUCUGAAGAAAACUGUUUGCUGCUAAAUAGCCUUACAUUCCCUUAUUAUUCUGGGGAUUAAAAUUCUGAAUUAAGUUUUGUCAGACAUAAAGGACACAGACCAGAACAUCUGUACUGCACAAUGUCAUCAGGGUGACAUAAAAAAUGAAUUCUAAGCAUUAUAGGCUUAGCAAUGUCUUCACACUUCAGGAGACCUGGUCCUCCCCUUCACAGUAAAAUGCCAUAAAAAUUAUCAGAUUAUGUAGGGUCUCCAAAAUGUCAAGAUAAUAGUUAAAUUUGAUUAAUAAACUAAGUGAUACGCUUUUUAUCAAUCCAAUUAACUGGUCAGCAUCUUUGUUUCUGAACCUGCUCUUAUUAGUUUACUACUUGCAUUGUUAUAGUUGAAUUGAAUUUUGUGGGCUGUGUUUUGAUUCUGUAGACCGUAUCCAAGAUUCUUAGCUUUGAUACUGUAUCCAGGUUCAGAAUGUGCAUUCAAGCAUGAUUUUAUAUAGCCAUACCCUAUUCCUGAAAUUGACAUAGAUUUAUGACAUAUUCUUUAGAACAGGUAACUUAAAACAUACCCUAUUCUUAAGAUUGAUAUAGAUUUAUGAUAUAUUCUUUAAAACAGGUAACUUAGAAAUAACUGAUAAACAUGCGAAUGUUACUUAGCAUUGCUUAGAUAGAUAAUUGGUGUUAGAAUAGGUGUGGAAUAUGCUAAUGGUUGUCAAGAAUUGUAAUGCAUAUGUAUGUGAUCAAAUUGUAUAAAUAUGGUGUAAACUGAAUCAGUGGCUGAAGCCAGCUUUGGGUGCGAACCCCUGGUUUCCCAGCGCUGAAAUAAAGCACCGCAUAUAACUGCACCUGUGGUUAUGUGUCUUGAAUGCUAACAUUUUUGGCGACCCAGAUGGGACCUCGCGAGCAUUGCUGAGGCGGAUCGCGUCUUGAUCCUGCUCCAGCUAGCACCGAGGUAUUCUUGGGGAGCGCAUCGGACGCGACCGACCCUCUGCUGCUCACGACGGACCUCUGACUGGUAAGAAGGUGCUUUAUCUGGAUUGUUGGGUACCCACUUGGUCUGGUUCUGGUCUGGUAGCCUGCUGGUCAGGCAUCUGGUAGCCUGCCGGUCAGACGCGGCGAAAGCCACGCUCGGUUGGGCAGGGAGCUCCCGUGGUAUUGCCUAGGCAGCCGUCCGUCAGACAGAGGGAAACCUCUGCAGGUUCGGCAUCUGGUCUGGUUAUUUGUGCCGCAGGCUCGGCACCUGGUCUGGUUAUUUGUGCCGCAGGCUCGGCACCUGGUCUGGUUAUUUGUGCGCACCUGGUCUGGUUAUUUGUGCUACUCAGCACCUGGUCUGUAGUUCUGGUGAUUUAAUCUGUAUUUACUGUUGAAACCGGUGAUUUGAUCCUGUUUACUGUUGUUCUGGUAAAGUUACUGUGUUAUCUUUCUGUGUUAGUUAUCUGUAUCCUUCUCUGUUGAUAUGUCCAAUUCAAACGUAUCGCCGUCAAAUUGCUUUCUGAAACAUUAGAAGAAGGCUGGGUUUGGACAGUUUAUGCAUAAAAGAAGUGUGAUUGUGAUCUGUUUGCAUAUUUGAACUCGGUAUUCGGUUUGCAUGUCUGAGCUCAGUAUUUUAGUUUGUAUGUUUGUAUUUGGUACCAAAAGGAUUUGUUUGGGCAAAUAAUUACAAAAUAAGAACCGUUUCUGUUACUAAAGUGCCACCUUGCUCCCCCUUCAGAUGCAUCUUUACACAUGAAAGUAAAUUGAGUUAGCUGUAUUGCAGUUAGUGUUGUUUUGUGGAUAGACUGAUUUGGAUUUGGAUCUAAAAUUAAUGUCAGGGAUUGAUGUUUAGUAUGCUGUUUAUUGACAUCUGUAAGAAGUUACAAAAGGCAGGAGCUGAGGGAUGUAACUAUUGUUCAGCUAAUUGGAAUUACAUAUAAAGUUUAUAAUCACAGGAAUUAAAUGAAGAGAGAAAAAGGGCAAAAGGAGCCCAAACCUGUGCCCGGCAGCUUCUCCUUGAUAAGCUGCAGAGAGAAGGAAAAAAAAAAAAAAAAAAAAAGGUGAAAAGCUGACUGUCUGCUAAAGCGGUGGGAAAGGGGGGGGGGGGAGCGGCGGCUGCUAAGGCUGAAGCUGCAGCUCCUCUCCUCCAAGCUCGCCGCCCGCGGGGGAUCAUCCAACGUAAUAGCACCCCUGCGGUAGGCAGUAGGUGUUGGGGGGGGGAACCAGUCUAUGUAAAAGUCCCGUUUUCGCCGCGGGAUUUAGUGAUCUGGAAGCAGUCGGCUGGUCCUUAUCGGGAAAACCCAGAUAAGGUUGCAAAAGUGAUUAAGAUGAUAAUUAAGACGCAGAAUCCUGAUUGGGAUGAUUUACAAGUCAUUUUAGAUACAUUAAUGGACUCUACAGAAAAAUAUGUGGUUAUACAGGUUGCGAGGGAUAAGGUGAGAGAAGAUAUUCGGAAUGGGAAAGUAGAGGCUAACGUUGACAAGAACUUUCCAAAAGAAGAUCCCCAAUAAUACCGGAGAUACAGACAAUACAGGAGGCGGGUUAAGCCGUCUCCGGAGGUAUCAGGAUUGGUUAUUGAUUAGCGUUUAAACUGCUAUGCCGAAGCAAAUGAAUUGGUCAAAAUUGUAUGAUGUGAUGCAGGAAAACAAUGAGUCUCCCUCGGCCUUUUUAGAAAGAUUAAAAGAAGCUGCCAAAACCGGGAUGUAAAAUUUUUAGUAGACACAGGGGCUAUUUAUAGUCUCUACUGAAUUCCUUACAGGGGGCGGUAGGUCACCGAGCUACAACAAUUGUUGGUGCCACGGGGAAGGAGGAAGUACGGCCAUUCCUGCAACCUUUGGAUUUGUGUUUUGGAGAAAAGGAGCUAACCCACGAGUUCUUAUAUGUUCCAGAUUGUCCAGUUUCUCUUUUAGGACGAGAUUUGCUGACCAAAUUAGAUGCCACAAUAACAUUUGAGGAUGGAAAUUUGGUAAUGAAAGUUCCGGAGUCAAAGGUAGGACAAAUUUUACUAUUAAAGGAAAAUCCAAUUGUGAAAAUACCACAGGCAAUAGAAGAUGCAGUGAUUCCCACGGUAUGGGAAACUGACAUACCUGGGAAGUCAAAGGCAGCUAAACCUGUGAAAGUAGCGCUGAAGGAAGGUGCUGAACCAGUACGAUUAAGACACUACCCAUUGAAAUUGGAAGCCAGAUUAGGAAUAGUAUCUUUAAUUGAGAAAUUUUUGAAAUAUGGAAUUCUAGAAGAAUGUGAAUCAGAAUACAAUACUCCAAUUUUUCCAGUAAAGAAACCUGAUGGUAGCUAUCGACUAGUCCAAGACUUACGAGCAAUAAACCAGAUCACUAAGGACAUACAUCCAGUAGUUGCAAAUCCGUAUACCUUGUUAACAUCUGUGAAAGAGAAAUAUAAAUGGUUUACAGUACUUGAUUUAAAAGAUGCCUUCUUCUGCAUACCCCUUGACCAGGAAAGCAAAAGCUAUUCGCUUUUGAAUGGGAGAACCCACACAACGGGAGAAAAGCCCAAUUAACCUGGACAUGCCUUCCACAAGGAUUUAAGAAUAGUCCAACUAUCUUCGGAAAUCAACUAGCCAAAGAACUUGAGGAGUGGACUACGAGAGGCUAUAUCAGAAUUCCUCGACAAUGGUAUUUGUUGCUGCAAUAUGUGGAUGAUAUUCUGAUUGCUGCUGAGACCCAAGAACUUUGCAUUCAGGUAACAAUUGAAAUAUUGAAUCAAUUAGGAAUGAAUGGAUAUAAAGUGUCAAAAAUAAAGCUCAGAUUGCAUCCACAACUGUGAUCUAUCUAGGAUGCGAGCUUUCUCAAGGACAGCGAAGACUGAGUAUAAACCGUGUACAUGCUAUCUGUGCGAUCUCAGAACCGUGUAACUUACAUGAAUUAAGAUCUUUUCUAGGAAUGGCAGGAUGGUGCAGGCUCUGGAUCAUGGACUAUGGACUUAUUGCCAAACCUUUAUACGAGGCACAGAAGAAUAAGACCUUGGUGUGGGAAAGACCACAACAAGAAGCUUUUCAAAAAUUGAAACAGGCCUUAAUGCAAGCGCCUGCUUUGGGCCUACCUGAUCUGAGUAAAGACUUUCAGUUGUUUGUACAUGAAUGACAGAGACUUGCUCUAGGGGUAUUAAACCAACGGCUGGGAUCUUGGAAAAGGCCCGUCAGUUAUUUCUCUAAACAACUUGACCCGGUAAGUGCUGGAUGGCCGGCGUGCUUGCGGGCGGUGGCUGCUACCGUGACAUUAAUUCAGGAAGUCCGGAAACUGACUAUGGGGAAAAGGAUCGAAGUGUUUGUAUCCCAUAUGGUGACUACUGUAUUGGAACAAAAGGGGGGCCAUUGGCUUUCCCCAAGUAGGAUGAUGAAAUAUCAGGCAAUUUUAACAGAGCAGGAUGAUGUUAUCCUAAAAACAACUAACCUAAUGAAUCCAGCUGUGUUUUUAAGUGCAGAGACUGAAGAAGAAAAUCUGGAACAUGAUUGUGUGGAGGUCAUUGAAUAUACCCACGCAAGUCGACCUGACCUGAAAGAUACCCCAUUGGAGAAGACGGAUUGGGAGCUUUUUACUGACGGCAGUAGUUUUGUGGAAAGCGGAGUGCGGUAUGCAGGAUACGCGAUUACUACUGCCAAAACAGUAAUUGAAGCUAAAUCCCUACCACCAAACACAUCAGCACAGAAAGCUGAGUUGAUAGCCCUAACUAGGGCAUUAGAGCUCAGUGAGGACAACAGGGUCAAUAUUUGGACUGACUCAAAAUAUGCAUUCGGGGUUGUUCAUGUACAUGGAGCUCUUUGGAAAGAGCGUGGACUACUCUCCUUCCAAGGAACAAACAUCAAGUACCAAAAAGAAAUAUUGAACUUGAUUAAUGCCGUUCAAAAGCCAUCACUAGUUGCCAUCAUGCACUGUAAAGCUCAUCAGAGUGGGACAUCAACAAUUAUUGAAGGAAACCGACUUGCUGAUCAAACAGCCCGAUCAGUGGCAUGACGAGUCUGGAUGAUGGUGGGUCUUGUCUCCCAAAAGGUAAGAGCAAUUGAUUUAUUACCUACACCUUCAGAGGCACCUGAAUAUUCUACAGAAGAUGAGAAAUUGGCAAGACUAGUAAAAGCCGUCAAGGAUAAUUCUGGAUGGUAUGUAACCACCAACGGACAAAUUGUGGUCCCGAUCACAAUUAUGAGAGGGAUACUUCAGGCGGAGCACCAGAAGUGUCAUUGGGGUGCAGAAGCAUUGGUAACUUAUCUAAGAAAACAAAUUAUCUCGGUCCAGAUGUUAACAAUGGCAAAAUCUUUCACAGCUAAGUGUGAAAUUUGCUUGAGAAAUAAGCCUUUAGUUCGAAGAAAAGUAGAUAUGGGAAAAAUUAGGACAGGUGUACAACCAGGGGAUUGUUGGCAGAUAGAUUAUGUGGAACUCCCCAAAACUCGAGGAUUCAGAUAUCUGCUAGUUGGGGUAUGCACCUUUUCAGGAUGGCCAGAAGCCUUCCCUUGUCGCACCAACCAGGCACAAGAAACUGUAAAAUGGUUACUGAAGGAAAUAAUUCCUAGAUUUGGAGUACCAUUGGGAAUAUCAUCUGAUAGGGGACCGCAUUUUGUUGCUCAAGUGGUAAAGGAAGUCAGUAGAUGUUUGGGAAUUAAAUGGGAAUUACAUACCCCAUGGAGACCCCAGUCUAGUGGCCAGGUGGAGAAAAUGAAUCAGACGUUAAAACGACAACUUAGCAAAAUUUGCCAGGAAGCAAAAAUUCAGUGGCCCCAGGCCUUACCAAUAGCGUUAUUGCGAAUUAGGAUUAAACCUAGGAGUGGAAUGUCCGUAAGCCCAUACGAAAUUCUGUAUGGCAGACCAUAUGAAGCACCUGAUCCGAAUCCAAGUGUACAUGUAAAAGGUAAUCAGGAUGUGUACAAUUAUGUGUUGUCUCUCGGCAGGACAUUGAAUCGACUCAGAUCUGUACUAGUGUGGAAUCGCCCACUAGCACUUGAGAAUCCGGUACAUGAUAUAGAACCUGGAGACACAGUGUAUAUAAAGACUUGGAGAGAAGAUCCUUUAAAAGAACGUUGGGACGGACCUUAUCAAGUACUUUUAACUACAUUUACCGCAAUCAAGGUUGCUGAAAUAGACUCCUGGAUACAUUACACCCGAGUGAAGAAAGUCCCAAAACUGUGGCAAUCACGAUUAGUGGGUCCAACCACACUUAAAAUCACAACGCAGGAUGUCUAACUUUUGUUACCGUUUUGUUUUUAUAGUAGUUUAUGUACCCAGACUGUAUGCCACACUGAUUUGCAAAGUCACUGGAGAACAAUUAUGUAAAACACGAAGGGCUAUAGGAGAUAGUGACGAUACUCAAAUGCCACAAGUAGUACAGAGUGUACAGAAUCAGGCAGAGAAUCUGAUGAUAGGACUAAUUCGAGAUUUUGCACAAACCCAAAAUGUCAGUAGCAUCACUGCUUGUCUUCCCAUCCCAAAAUCAGCUGAAGAUCCGGUACAGUGGGGAAUAAUAUCUACGACCUUACCAGAAGUAAAUAAGACUGGUAAGAUAGUGUGUGAGUCCCAUACUAAAAUAGAGCAAGUACCAAUUGAACAACGGACAAAAGAGCUUGUUAAGAAUGCCAUGAUAAAAAGAGGUGACUGCUUAAAGUUGCCAGGAGCAGAAUUUGUAAAGAUAUGAUGAUUUCAUAAUAUUGGGUAUUGCACGUAUGAAAAGUGGACCACCAAAACAGUAUAUGAAAAGGUUGAGCGAGCCUAUUGGGAAUGUAAAGAUCAGGAUAAUCAGAACAUAACUGAAUCAUGGGAUAACAUGUGGACGUUGAGUAUAGUACAGCAAUAUCAAUAUAGCGAAGCAUUUCCAUGGUGUAUACGAUGGACCAAUGUAACAAGAGGAGUAACAGUACCGUGGUGGAAUUGCUCUCAAGUAAUGACCUGCCAGACAGAUGUGAAAGAAAUACCUCUGUCCAUCAUUAAAGUUGCAGUAAUCGCAGGUUGCAUUUGUCAGAAACAAUUGGAUCCAAAGGAAGCAAUCAAAAUAGGCAUUGAUGGAGAUAAGAUAGAUUGUAGAGGAACUAUAGGUAGUGUGGGACAUUUGGUUUGGGCCUUAAGUGAUGGAACCUGGACAACACAUUUACUGAUAGCAGGACCAGUAAGGGAGGUUACUUUGGGGUUACCAACCCUAUGUCCCAUUUGGAAAAGGUCACCCUUGAAGAAUAGGCAAGAACUCCUACAAGUUAGGUACAAACGAGAGAUAGAUGAAGAUGAUGUGUGGCAUGAACCAUUGGGUAGUGUUAAAUUCGGCUGGGCAUUAGAAUCUUUCUUUGCACCAAUCGCAGCCUAUAGAAACAGAGAAAUGAUUGACAGAUUAAUUGGACAGAUGGAUCGAUUGGCAAGGGUAACCAAAAAGGGUUUUCGAGAAUUCAAUAUACAAUUGCAAGCUACGACCAAAAUGACUUUGCAGAACAGAAUGGCACUUGACAUAAUGUUGCUAAAAGAAAAUGGGGUUUGUGGAUAUUUAAAAGAUAGGGUUGAUCAUUGCUGCAUUCAUAUCCCAAACGUAACCUCUGAAGUGGAAAAAGAUAUUUCCCAAUUAACCCAAACAGAAAAAGAACUGCAAGCGGAAAAACAAGAUGUAGAGCAGAGCUGGGUUGGGGCCUUGCUAGGCAAAUUGAACCUGAACCUGGGAGGAUGGGUACAUUAGUUAUUGGAGAGUUUAUUUUUGCUUGCCAUUAUAGUUGCUCUUUUCUUUUUGCUUUAUGCUUGUAUUAAGCAUCAAAUAAGUCAAUCAAAGGCAAGGAACGACCGCAUCUUUACUGUCCUUAGCAGAUCCACUUUUGACAACCCUCCAGCUUAUAAGGAAAAUAUAAUGUAGUGAAAAUGCAUUGUCUAGGAAUAGAAAAGCAUUUUCAAAGGGGGGAAAUGUUAUAGUUGAAUUGAAUUUUGUGGGCUGUGUUUUGAUUCUGUAGACCGUAUCCAAGAUUCUUAGCUUUGAUACUGUAUCCAGGUUCAGAAUGUGCAUUCAAGCAUGAUUUUAUAUAGCCAUACCCUAUUCCUGAAAUUGACAUAGAUUUAUGACAUAUUCUUUAGAACAGGUAACUUAAAACAUACCCUAUUCUUAAGAUUGAUAUAGAUUUAUGAUAUAUUCUUUAAAACAGGUAACUUAGAAAUAACUGAUAAACAUGCGAAUGUUACUUAGCAUUGCUUAGAUAGAUAAUUGGUGUUAGAAUAGGUGUGGAAUAUGCUAAUGGUUGUCAAGAAUUGUAAUGCAUAUGUAUGUGAUCAAAUUGUAUAAAUAUGGUGUAAACUGAAUCAGUGGCUGAAGCCAGCUUUGGGUGCGAACCCCUGGUUUCCCAGCGCUGAAAUAAAGCACCGCAUAUAACUGCA